CUCUAUCACUCCUACGGGAGGCAGCAGUGGGGAAUAUUGGACAAUGGGGGGAACCCUGAUCCAGCCAUGCCGCGUGUGUGAAGAAGGCCCUCGGGUUGUAAAGCACUUUCAGCGAGGAAGAACGCCUAGCGGUUAAUACCCGCUAGGAAAGACAUCACUCGCAGAAGAAGCACCGGCUAACUCCGUGCCAGCAGCCGCGGUAAUACGGAGGGUGCAAGCGUUAAUCGGAAUUACUGGGCGUAAAGCGCGCGUAGGUGGCUUGAUAAGCCGGUUGUGAAAGCCCCGGGCUCAACCUGGGAACGGCAUCCGGAACUGUCAAGCUAGAGUGCAGGAGAGGAAGGUAGAAUUCCCGGUGUAGCGGUGAAAUGCGUAGAGAUCGGGAGGAAUACCAGUGGCGAAGGCGGCCUUCUGGACUGACACUGACACUGAGGUGCGAAAGCGUGGGUAGCAAACAGGAUUAGAUACCCUGGUAG
This 473-nucleotide ribosomal RNA is filed under the name uncultured bacterium. Its description in RNAcentral is "bacterial SSU rRNA". It matches the Rfam family "Bacterial small subunit ribosomal RNA", at positions 328 to 793 of the family's 1533-position model. The record is from RNAcentral.